RNAcentral lists this ribosomal RNA (493 nucleotides) under uncultured bacterium. Its description in RNAcentral is "partial 16S ribosomal RNA". It matches the Rfam family "Bacterial small subunit ribosomal RNA", at positions 29 to 507 of the family's 1533-position model. The record is from RNAcentral.
AGUGAACGCUGGCGGUAGGCCUAACACAUGCAAGUCGAACGGCAGCACAGUAAGAGCUUGCUCUUACGGGUGGCGAGUGGCGGACGGGUGAGGAAUACAUCGGAAUCUACUUUUUCGUGGGGGAUAACGUAGGGAAACUUACGCUAAUACCGCAUACGACCUACGGGUGAAAGCAGGGGAUCUUCGGACCUUGCGCGAUUGAAUGAGCCGAUGUCGGAUUAGCUAGUUGGCGGGGUAAAGGCCCACCAAGGCGACGAUCCGUAGCUGGUCUGAGAGGAUGAAUCAGCCACACUGGAACCGAGACACGGUCCAGACUCCUACGGGAGGCAGCAGUGGGGAAUAUUGGACAAUGGGCGCAAGCCUGAUCCAGCCAUACCGCGUGGGUGAAGAAGGCCUUCGGGUUGUAAAGCCCUUUUGUUGGGAAAGAAAAGCAGCAGGUUAAUACCCCGCUGUUCUGACGGUACCCAAAGAAUAAGCACCGGCUAACUUCGUG